UGUGAGGGUUCGAUCCCCUUCCACCUGUUCCCAUUCCGAACACAGAAGUUAAGCUCUCUAGCGCUGAUGGUACUUGGUGGGAAACUGCCUGGGAGAGUAGGACGUAGCCACGUA
RNAcentral lists this ribosomal RNA (114 nucleotides) under Clostridioides difficile. Lineage: Bacteria; Bacillati; Bacillota; Clostridia; Peptostreptococcales; Peptostreptococcaceae. The record is from RNAcentral.